RNAcentral lists this ribosomal RNA (369 nucleotides) under Triticum aestivum (bread wheat). RNAcentral's name for it is "partial small subunit ribosomal RNA". Lineage: Eukaryota; Viridiplantae; Streptophyta; Magnoliopsida; Poales; Poaceae. The record is from RNAcentral.
AUGAAUUUAUCUAUGCAGUUAAUGGACGUAGUGACAGCAUACUUGUAUGGGUCACUCAAAUCGGACAUAUAUAUGAAAGUUUCCGAAGGACUUAAAAUGCCGAAUCCAAAAGCAAAUCGCAACGUAUAUUGUGUAAAAUUACGAGAGUCACUCUAUGGCUUAAAACAGUCGGGUAGAAUGUGGUAUAACCGACUGAGUGAGUUCCUUAUUCAGAAAGGAUACUCAAAUAAUGAUGAUUGCCCUUGUGUAUUUAUAAAGAAAUCCUCAAAUGGAUUUUGCAUCAUCUCAGUGUACGUUGAUGAUCUCAAUAUCAUUGGGAGUACACAUGAUAUAGAAGAAGCACGCAAUCAUUUAAUGACGAGAAUUUGA